Molecule: ribosomal RNA, 460 nt
Filed under: uncultured bacterium
Lineage: Bacteria
Description: partial 16S ribosomal RNA
Rfam family: Bacterial small subunit ribosomal RNA
Source: RNAcentral
CCUACGGGAGGCAGCAGUGAGGAAUAUUGGUCAAUGGACGAGAGUCUGAACCAGCCAAGUAGCGUGAAGGAUGACUGCCCUAUGGGUUGUAAACUUCUUUUAUAUGGGAAUAAAAUGUUCCACGUGUGGGAUUUUGUAUGUACCAUAUGAAUAGGGAUCGGCUAACUCCGUGCCAGCAGCCGCGGUAAUACGGAGGAUCCGAGCGUUAUCCGGAUUUAUUGGGUUUAAAGGGAGCGUAGGUGGAUUGUUAAGUCAGUUGUGAAAGUUUGCGGCUCAACCGUAAAAUUGCAGUUGAAACUGGCAGUCUUGAGUACAGUAGAGGUGGGCGGAAUUCGUGGUGUAGCGGUGAAAUGCUUAGAUAUCACGAAGAACUCCGAUUGCGAAGGCAGUUCACUGGACUGCAACUGACACUGAGGCUCGAAAGUGUGGGUAUCAAACAGGAUUAGAUACCCCUGUAGUC